Long non-coding RNA from Helianthus annuus (common sunflower), 139 nucleotides. RefSeq lists it as uncharacterized. NCBI's taxonomy places the organism in Eukaryota, Viridiplantae, Streptophyta, Magnoliopsida, Asterales, Asteraceae. The record is from RefSeq and is a predicted model, not a curated record. The transcript has 2 exons.
ACCUUCUCCAGCGAAACUCACCGGACUUCUUCUCCGGUGCUCUCUCUCCUCUCGGUCUAAUUGCUCUUGAAACAGACCAAUAAAGAUAUUCAAUCGACAAGCUGGAUGGAUGUAGGCGACGUUAAUGCGGGGACAUGUG